Molecule: small nuclear RNA, 107 nt
Organism: Callithrix jacchus (white-tufted-ear marmoset)
Lineage: Eukaryota; Metazoa; Chordata; Mammalia; Primates; Cebidae
Source: Ensembl
GUGCUCACCUUGGCAGCGCAUAUACUAAAAUUGGAAUGAUACAGAGAAGAUUAGCAUGGCCACUGCGCAAGGAUGACACACAAAUUCGUGAAGCAUUCCAUAUUUUU